UGGGGAAUAUUGGACAAUGGGCGAAAGCCUGAUCCAGCAAUGCCGCGUGAGUGAUGAAGGCCCUAGGGUUGUAAAGCUCUUUUACCCGGGAUGAUAAUGACAGUACCGGGAGAAUAAGCUCCGGCUAACUUCGUGCCAGCAGCCGCGGUAAUACGAGGGGAGCUAGCGUUGUUCGGAAUUACUGGGCGUAAAGCGCGCGUAGGCGGUUUUUUAAGUCAGAGGUGAAAGCCCGGGGCUCAACCCCGGAAUAGCCUUUGAAACUGGAAAACUAGAAUCUUGGAGAGGUCAGUGGAAUUCCGAGUGUAGAGGUGAAAUUCGUAGAUAUUCGGAAGAACACCAGUGGCGAAGGCGACUGACUGGACAAGUAUUGACGCUGGGGUGCGAAAGCGUGGGGAGCAAACA
Molecule: ribosomal RNA, 402 nt
Filed under: uncultured bacterium
Lineage: Bacteria
Description: bacterial SSU rRNA
Rfam family: Bacterial small subunit ribosomal RNA
Source: RNAcentral